Molecule: long non-coding RNA, 600 nt
Filed under: Phaseolus vulgaris (common bean)
Lineage: Eukaryota; Viridiplantae; Streptophyta; Magnoliopsida; Fabales; Fabaceae
Description: long non-coding RNA (PVUL_LNC000121)
Source: RNAcentral
GCAUGGAUGUGGAGAUUGGAACGUCCUCGUUCUGUAGCAGCAAUCUACGGUAAGAGAAAUUCAUUUUUUUUUUAAAUUUCUCAGCAACCAAACACUGUCUAAUGUGCUUGUUUGUGAGAAUCAGAAAGGUGUUGCAGUGCAGUGUUGUGUUAGGAGCUUUUAUAUUUUAUAAUUUUAACAAUGAUAAACAGUGGAGAGUAAAUUAAUAUGGGUGUAAUAAAUAAAUUAGAGUGUGAAUGACAUGAUAGGGACAGAGAAUGGGAGCCACAGCAUUUAAUCAGUGACUCUCGCGUUUACGGGAAUGUUGGAUUGAACCUUCUAAAUACAUAUUAAUUUGUUAUGUUUGUGUCUACUCCAAUUAAUUUUGGAAAGUGAAUUUAAUUUUUUUAUUUUGGAGUAAGAUUGUGGAAUAAGAUUGUGCAGGUGACGUGACUAUAGGACAGAACCGACUGUUUGCUCUGUUCCAUUCUAUCCUUAAGUUCUUGGGAACCAUAAAAAGUACUGUUAGCUACUGGACUAGCUGCUUCACUGAGAAUUAUCUAUGGAGCUACUCCUCUAUAUACUCAAAAUACUCAAAUCUUAUGAUAUAAACAUGUAAGG